AGUGAACGCUGGCGGUAGGCCUAACACAUGCAAGUCGAACGGCAGCACAGUAAGAGCUUGCUCUUACGGGUGGCGAGUGGCGGACGGGAGAGGAAUACAUCGGAAUCUACUUUUUCGUGGGGGAUAACGUAGGGAAACUUACGCUAAUACCGCAUACGACCUACGGGUGAAAGCAGGGGAUCUUCUGACCUUGCGCGAUUGAAUGAGCCGAUGUCGGAUUAGCUAGUUGGCGGGGUAAAGGCCCACCAAGGCGACGAUCCGUAGCUGGUCUGAGAGGAUGAUCAGCCACACUGGAGCUGAGACACGGUCCAGACUCCUGCGGGAGGCAGCAGUGGGGAAUAUUGGACAAUGGGCGCAAGCCUGAUCCAGCCAUACCGCGUGGGUGAAGAAGGCCUUCGGGUUGUAAAGCCCUUUUGUUGGGAAAGAAAAGCAGCAGGUUAAUACCCCGCUGUUCUGACGGUACCCAAAGAAUAAGCACCGGCUAACUUCGUG
Molecule: ribosomal RNA, 492 nt
Filed under: uncultured bacterium
Lineage: Bacteria
Description: partial 16S ribosomal RNA
Rfam family: Bacterial small subunit ribosomal RNA
Source: RNAcentral